RNAcentral lists this ribosomal RNA (1122 nucleotides) under Chalara sp. LL-16.3. RNAcentral's name for it is "eukaryotic LSU rRNA". The stretch from base 489 to 1122 matches the Rfam family "Eukaryotic large subunit ribosomal RNA", at positions 1 to 646 of the family's 3401-position model. The record is from RNAcentral. Lineage: Eukaryota; Fungi; Ascomycota; Leotiomycetes; Helotiales.
CAAGGAUAUUACCGAAUCAAGGCCCCUUCGGGGGCUAAACUUCCCCCUUUGUUUACCUUACCAUUGUUGCUUUGGCGGGCCGCCUUAGGCCACCGGCUCUCGAGCUGGUGCGUGCCCGCCAGAGACCCCCAAACCCAAACCAUAUUUAGUGUCGUCUGAAAACAAGUUUAAAUUAUUAAAACUUUCAACAACGGAUCUCUUGGCUCUGGCAUCGAUGAAGAACGCAGCGAAAUGCGAUAAGUAAUGUGAAUUGCAGAAUUCAGUGAAUCAUCGAAUCUUUGAACGCACAUUGCGCCCCUUGGUAUUCCGGGGGGCAUGCCUGUUCGAGCGUCAUUAUCACCCCUCAAGCUCAGCUUGGUGUUGGGGCAUGCCCGUCACAGGGCAGCCCUUAAAAGCAGUGGCGGUGCCAUCUGGCUCUAAGCGUAGUAAUACUCCUCGCUAUAGGGGUCCCGGUGGUGUCCUGCCAGAACCCCAAAUUUUAUCAUGAUUGACCUCGGAUCAGGUAGGGGAUACCCCGCUGAACUUAAGCAUAUCAAUAAGCGGAGGAAAAGAAACCAACAGGGAUUGCCUCAGUAACGGCGAAGUGAAGCGGCAAAAAGCUCAAAUUUGAAAUCUGGCUCUUUCAGGGUCCGAGUUGUAAUUUGUAGAAGAUGCUUUGGGUGUGGUUCUGGUUUAAGUUCUUUGGAAUAUUACAUCAUAGAAGGGUGAGAAUCCCGUAUGUGACCAGUCGCCGCGCCCGUGUAAAGCUCUUUCAACGAGUCGAGUUGUUUGGGAAUGCAGCUCAAAAUGGGAGGUAUAUUUCUUCUAAAGCUAAAUAUUGGCCAGAGACCGAUAGCGCACAAGUAGAGUGAUCGAAAGAUGAAAAGCACUUUGGAAAGAGAGUUAAACAGUACGUGAAAUUGUUGAAAGGGAAGCGCUUGCAACCAGACUUGCACGCAGUUGAUCAUCCGGUGUUCUCACCGGGGCACUCUGCUGCGUUCAGGCCAGCAUCGUUUUCGGUGGUUGGAUAAAGGCCUUGGGAAUGUAGCUUCUUUCGGGGAGUGUUAUAGCCCUCGGUGCAAUGCAGCCUACCGGGAGCGAGGACCGCGCUUCGGCUAGGAUGCUGGCGUAAUGUUGUAAGCG